AUUGCUUCUCAGCCCUUUGGCUAAGGUUAAGUAUAGUAUCUGUUCUUAUUGGUUUAAUGUCUGAUACAUCCUCUACCUGAAGACAAUAUAUUAUGUGGGUUUGGGGAGCAGGGAGAUGGAAUUGUAGCUUGCCCCAUCCAUUCCACAGAUGGACCCAAUGUUGUAGUACCUCCAGGAAUGGGGCACUCCCU
RNAcentral lists this small nuclear RNA (191 nucleotides) under Carlito syrichta (Philippine tarsier). RNAcentral's name for it is "U2 spliceosomal RNA (ENSTSYG00000034811.1)". It matches the Rfam family "U2 spliceosomal RNA". From Rfam's summary of the family: U2 is a small nuclear RNA (snRNA) component of the spliceosome (involved in pre-mRNA splicing). Complementary binding between U2 snRNA (in an area lying towards the 5' end but 3' to hairpin I) and the branchpoint sequence (BPS) of the intron results the bulging out of an unpaired adenosine, on the BPS, which initiates a nucleophilic attack at the intronic 5' splice site, thus starting the first of two transesterification reactions that mediate splicing. Lineage: Eukaryota; Metazoa; Chordata; Mammalia; Primates; Tarsiidae. The record is from Rfam by way of RNAcentral.